This 2429-nucleotide ribosomal RNA is filed under the name Salmonella enterica subsp. diarizonae. RNAcentral describes it as "partial 23S ribosomal RNA". It matches the Rfam family "Bacterial large subunit ribosomal RNA", at positions 611 to 2925 of the family's 2925-position model. The record is from RNAcentral. Lineage: Bacteria; Pseudomonadati; Pseudomonadota; Gammaproteobacteria; Enterobacterales; Enterobacteriaceae.
UAUAAUGGGUCAGCGACUUAUAUUCUGUAGCAAGGUUAACCGCAUAGGGGAGCCGAAGGGAAACCGAGUCUUAAUUGGGCGUUAAGUUGCAGGGUAUAGACCCGAAACCCGGUGAUCUAGCCAUGGGCAGGUUGAAGGUUGGGUAACACUAACUGGAGGACCGAACCGACUAAUGUUGAAAAAUUAGCGGAUGACCUGUGGCUGGGGGUGAAAGGCCAAUCAAACCGGGAGAUAGCUGGUUCUCCCCGAAAGCUAUUUAGGUAGCGCCUCGUGAAUUCAUCUCCGGGGGUAGAGCACUGUUUCGGCUAGGGGGCCAUCCCGGCUUACCAACCCGAUGCAAACUGCGAAUACCGGAGAAUGUUAUCACGGGAGACACACGGCGGGUGCUAACGUCCGUCGUGAAGAGGGAAACAACCCAGACCGCCAGCUAAGGUCCCAAAGUCAUGGUUAAGUGGGAAACGAUGUGGGAAGGCCCAGACAGCCAGGAUGUUGGCUUAGAAGCAGCCAUCAUUUAAAGAAAGCGUAAUAGCUCACUGGUCGAGUCGGCCUGCGCGGAAGAUGUAACGGGGCUAAACCAUGCACCGAAGCUGCGGCAGCGAACGUAUCACUUAAAACGAUUCAGAAGCUUACGAUUGACGGAGCGAAGCGACGUCAAAGCGUAUACAAAGUCGAGUCGGUUUAAGGAUACGUUCGUUGGGUAGGGGAGCGUUCUGUAAGCCGUUGAAGGUGUCCUGUGAGGGGUGCUGGAGGUAUCAGAAGUGCGAAUGCUGACAUAAGUAACGAUAAAGCGGGUGAAAAGCCCGCUCGCCGGAAGACCAAGGGUUCCUGUCCAACGUUAAUCGGGGCAGGGUGAGUCGACCCCUAAGGCGAGGCCGAAAGGCGUAGUCGAUGGGAAACGGGUUAAUAUUCCCGUACUUGGUGUUACUGCGAAGGGGGGACGGAGAAGGCUAUGUUGGCCGGGCGACGGUUGUCCCGGUUUAAGCGUGUAGGUGUGUGUUCCAGGUAAAUCCGGUUCACUUUAACACUGAGGCGUGAUGACGAGGCACCACGGUGCUGAAGCAACAAAUGCCCUGCUUCCAGGAAAAGCCUCUAAGCAUCAGGUAACAUCAAAUCGUACCCCAAACCGACACAGGUGGUCAGGUAGAGAAUACCAAGGCGCUUGAGAGAACUCGGGUGAAGGAACUAGGCAAAAUGGUGCCGUAACUUCGGGAGAAGGCACGCUGACACGUAGGUGAAGUGAUUUACUCAUGGAGCUGAAGUCAGUCGAAGAUACCAGCUGGCUGCAACUGUUUAUUAAAAACACAGCACUGUGCAAACACGAAAGUGGACGUAUACGGUGUGACGCCUGCCCGGUGCCGGAAGGUUAAUUGAUGGGGUCAGCGCAAGCGAAGCUCCUGAUCGAAGCCCCGGUAAACGGCGGCCGUAACUAUAACGGUCCUAAGGUAGCGAAAUUCCUUGUCGGGUAAGUUCCGACCUGCACGAAUGGCGUAAUGAUGGCCAGGCUGUCUCCACCCGAGACUCAGUGAAAUUGAACUCGCUGUGAAGAUGCAGUGUACCCGCGGCAAGACGGAAAGACCCCGUGAACCUUUACUAUAGCUUGACACUGAACAUUGAGCCUUGAUGUGUAGGAUAGGUGGGAGGCUUUGAAGCGUGGACGCCAGUCUGCGUGGAGCCGACCUUGAAAUACCACCCUUUAAUGUUUGAUGUUCUAACGUGGACCCGUAAUCCGGGUUGCGGACAGUGUCUGGUGGGUAGUUUGACUGGGGCGGUCUCCUCCUAAAGAGUAACGGAGGAGCACGAAGGUUGGCUAAUCCUGGUCGGACAUCAGGAGGUUAGUGCAAUGGCAUAAGCCAGCUUGACUGCGAGCGUGACGGCGCGAGCAGGUGCGAAAGCAGGUCAUAGUGAUCCGGUGGUUCUGAAUGGAAGGGCCAUCGCUCAACGGAUAAAAGGUACUCCGGGGAUAACAGGCUGAUACCGCCCAAGAGUUCAUAUCGACGGCGGUGUUUGGCACCUCGAUGUCGGCUCAUCACAUCCUGGGGCUGAAGUAGGUCCCAAGGGUAUGGCUGUUCGCCAUUUAAAGUGGUACGCGAGCUGGGUUUAGAACGUCGUGAGACAGUUCGGUCCCUAUCUGCCGUGGGCGCUGGAAGACUGAGGGGGGCUGCUCCUAGUACGAGAGGACCGGAGUGGACGCAUCACUGGUGUUCGGGUUGUCAUGCCAAUGGCACUGCCCGGUAGCUAAAUGCGGAAAAGAUAAGUGCUGAAAGCAUCUAAGCACGAAACUUGCCCCGAGAUGAGUCUUCCCUGAGACCUUGAGUCUCCUGAAGGAACGUUAAAGACGAUGACGUUGAUAGGCCGGGUGUGUAAGCGCAGCGAUGCGUUGAGCUAACCGGUACUAAUGAACCGUGAGGCUUAACCUUACAACGCCGAAG